CCCACAGCAGCUUCAUGGGGUAGGUAUUUCGAUGAGCUGCAGUUUACAGAUUAGAAAACAAGCACAGAAGGGACACUUUCCUAAGGACACACAAAGGCAUAGCCACAGUGAUAACCCCGUCUGACCCCAGCGUCUCAUUCCUACUCGCUACUCUAUGUUCUUGGUUUUAAUCACAUAACACACGACUGCAAUAAUCUGUAACCCAGGAAUCCUAAACUUGUGUAGAUGUUUUUAAACAAUAAAGGUGAAAGUCAAAAGAAAGGGGAUUCUCAUUUUUCUCCUUGCUCCUCCCCACCCCAGCUUUGCGGCAAGAGGCUCACCAGGACAGGCUCCAGGAAGACGAACCUCAUGACUCCACCACCAACACGGGGGACUACUUCUGGCACUUUCCAGCAUCCUGGACUUUUGUUAACGUGGGGGAAAAGAUUGCAGAUGUUCACCCGGAGCUGAACCUUCAGUAUCUGUGCAUUCAGAAAUGAUCCUGUGUCUAAAGCUGGAAAAUAAACCCUGUGCUCUUCAAUGACUUCACUAAUCCCAGCAGUGUCCACAUGACACGUAUGAAAGUCCCGGAACAGACAGGAGCAUGCUGUGAGUGCCUAUGGUUGCUGGAGUGGCCUGCAGAGCUGGAUGGCAGAGAGCAGGUGAACAGAUACCCUCCAAAGAGAAGCAAAACUGAGACAGUAAGGACCCAGCCCCAGGGGUCAGGGGAUGUAGCCAGUGGAGCGUGAGAUCCAGGCCAGACAAAAGAGCCAAGACACUCUCUGACUUCCCAGGCUCUACUGGGCAGCCCAGUCAGUAGGGAUGCACUGGUACCUGGCUUCUAGCUGGUCUCUAGAC
Molecule: long non-coding RNA, 837 nt
Organism: Ochotona princeps (American pika)
Lineage: Eukaryota; Metazoa; Chordata; Mammalia; Lagomorpha; Ochotonidae
Exons: 3
Source: RefSeq, a predicted model, not a curated record